UAUAGAUAUAGAGGAUGCGCAACCAAUCAGUAGCCGAUGGUGAAAGGUGGUUGUGCCGAAAUGCAGAUUUUCUGUGUUGGGGGUAAUACCUAAGAGGGUUAUCCCUGUCAAACCUUAAUGCCCAUUAAGGUGCGGAGCGCUUGUCUUAU
RNAcentral lists this non-coding RNA (149 nucleotides) under Aerococcus viridans. Its description in RNAcentral is "Lysine sequence". It matches the Rfam family "Lysine riboswitch aptamer". From Rfam's summary of the family: Riboswitches are metabolite binding domains within certain messenger RNAs that serve as precision sensors for their corresponding targets. Allosteric rearrangement of mRNA structure is mediated by ligand binding, and this results in modulation of gene expression. Lineage: Bacteria; Bacillati; Bacillota; Bacilli; Lactobacillales; Aerococcaceae. The record is from RNAcentral.